CGCUUCCCGUAUGAUCACCGAAGUUAAGCAACAUCGAGUCUGGUCAGUACCUAGAUGGAUGAUCGCUUGGGAAUACCAGGUGCUGUG
This 87-nucleotide ribosomal RNA is filed under the name Acanthosepion pharaonis. Lineage: Eukaryota; Metazoa; Mollusca; Cephalopoda; Sepiida; Sepiidae. The record is from RNAcentral.